UUAUUCCUACGGGGCGCAGCGGUGGGGAAUAUUGGGCGAUGGGCGCAAGCCUGACCCAGCAACGCCGCGUGAAGGAAGAAGGCUUUCGGGUUGUAAACUUCUUUUCUCAGGGACGAGGCAAGUGACGGUACCUGAGGAAUAAGCCACGGCUAACUACGUGCCAGCAGCCGCGGUAAUACGUAGGUGGCAAGCGUUAUCCGGAUUUACUGGGUGUAAAGGGCGUGUAGGCGGGAAAGCAAGUCAGAUGUGAAAACCAUGGGCUCAACCUGUGGCCUGCAUUCGAAACUGUUUUUCUUGAGUACUGG
RNAcentral lists this ribosomal RNA (305 nucleotides) under uncultured bacterium. RNAcentral's name for it is "bacterial SSU rRNA". It matches the Rfam family "Bacterial small subunit ribosomal RNA", at positions 333 to 652 of the family's 1533-position model. The record is from RNAcentral.